This 303-nucleotide ribosomal RNA is filed under the name uncultured bacterium. RNAcentral's name for it is "partial 16S ribosomal RNA". It matches the Rfam family "Bacterial small subunit ribosomal RNA", at positions 507 to 807 of the family's 1533-position model. The record is from RNAcentral.
AGCAGUCGCCGCGGUAAUACGUAGGGUGCGAGCGUUAAUCGGAAUUACUGGGCGUAAAGCGUGCGCAGGCGGUUAUAUAAGACAGAUGUGAAAUCCCCGGGCUCAACCUGGGACCUGCAUUUGUGACUGUAUAGCUAGAGUACGGUAGAGGGGGAUGGAAUUCCGCGUGUAGCAGUGAAAUGCGUAGAUAUGCGGAGGAACACCGAUGGCGAAGGCAAUCCCCUGGACCUGUACUGACGCUCAUGCACGAAAGCGUGGGGAGCAAACAGGAUUAGAUACCCCUGUAGUCCCUGUCUCUUAUAC